CGGCCAGUACGCGGUCGGACACGAGCCGCUGCGGCUUGCCGCGCUGUAUCAGCGCUCGUUCCGGGUCGGCCCGGUCGUC
RNAcentral lists this transfer RNA (79 nucleotides) under Burkholderia territorii. Its description in RNAcentral is "tRNA-Gly". Lineage: Bacteria; Pseudomonadati; Pseudomonadota; Betaproteobacteria; Burkholderiales; Burkholderiaceae. The record is from RNAcentral.